CAUGGUGCCGGUUCCGGUGGCG
This 22-nucleotide microRNA is filed under the name Oryza sativa (Asian cultivated rice). RNAcentral's name for it is "osa-miR2102-3p". The record is from miRBase by way of RNAcentral. Lineage: Eukaryota; Viridiplantae; Streptophyta; Magnoliopsida; Poales; Poaceae.